AUAGCGGCGACGUGAGCGGUCCGCCGCCCGCGACGUCGCAAGAAUCCACUGAACCUUAUCAUUUAGAGGAAGGAGAAGUCAUAAAAAGGUUUCCAUAGGUGAACCUACGGAAGGAUCAUUG
RNAcentral lists this ribosomal RNA (121 nucleotides) under Korthalsia cheb. RNAcentral describes it as "partial 18S ribosomal RNA". It matches the Rfam family "Eukaryotic small subunit ribosomal RNA", at positions 1712 to 1831 of the family's 1831-position model. Lineage: Eukaryota; Viridiplantae; Streptophyta; Magnoliopsida; Arecales; Arecaceae. The record is from RNAcentral.